RNAcentral lists this ribosomal RNA (533 nucleotides) under uncultured bacterium. RNAcentral describes it as "partial 16S ribosomal RNA". It matches the Rfam family "Bacterial small subunit ribosomal RNA", at positions 355 to 902 of the family's 1533-position model. The record is from RNAcentral.
UGGGGAAUAUUGCACAAUGGGCGAAAGCCUGAUGCAGCAACGCCGCGUGAGGGACGACGGCCUUCGGGUUGUAAACCUCUUUAGCAAGGAAGAAGCGAAAGUGACGGUACUUGCAGAAAAAGCGCCGGCUAACUACGUGCCAGCAGCCGCGGUAAUACGUAGGGCGCAAGCGUUAUCCGGAAUUAUUGGGCGUAAAGAGCUCGUAGGCGGUUUGUCGCGUCUGCUGUGAAAACCCGAGGCUCAACCUCGGGCCUGCAGUGGGUACGGGCAGACUAGAGUGCGGUAGGGGAGAUUGGAACUCCUGGUGUAGCGGUGGAAUGCGCAGAUAUCAGGAAGAACACCGAUGGCGAAGGCAGAUCUCUGGGCCGUAACUGACGCUGAGGAGCGAAAGGGUGGGGAGCAAACAGGCUUAGAUACCCUGGUAGUCCACCCGUAACGUUGGGAACUAGUUGUGGGGUCCAUUCCACGGAUUCCGUGACGCAGCUAACGCAUUAAGUUCCCCGCCUGGGGAGUACGGCCGCAAGGCUAAACUC